Molecule: ribosomal RNA, 253 nt
Filed under: uncultured bacterium
Lineage: Bacteria
Description: partial 16S ribosomal RNA
Rfam family: Bacterial small subunit ribosomal RNA
Source: RNAcentral
UACAGAGGUCUCAACCGUUGUUCGGAUUCAUUGGGCGUAAAGGGUGCGUAGGCGGUCGGGUAAGUCGGAUGUGAAAUCCCAGGGCUCAACCCUGGAACUGCAUUCGAUACUGCCUGGCUAGGGUACUGGAGAGGGAUGCGGAAUUCCAGGUGUAGCGGUGAAAUGCGUAGAUAUCUGGAGGAACACCGGUGGCGAAGGCGGCAUCCUGGACCAACACUGACGCUGAGGAGCGAAAGCCAGGGGAGCAAACGGG